AGCUAAUUAGCUAAACCCCCAUAGCUUGUAUCUUGAAAAUACAGAUUAGAAGUUAAAGACUUCUAUUAGCUU
Molecule: transfer RNA, 72 nt
Filed under: China mantispoides
Lineage: Eukaryota; Metazoa; Arthropoda; Insecta; Orthoptera; Chorotypidae
Description: tRNA-Ser
Source: RNAcentral